UGUUGUAGUGUAGACUGUACUAACCGACCGUCGAAGGAGUCUGUGUCGCAGUUUUUUCGAUUCAGCGUCCUGGAGACAUAAGAGGCGGAGGAGCUGUCCAGGGCGCCGCGGUGCUGAGACGCAGCUAAUGGGGUCGUGAUCGUAUCAGCAAGUGGGUGAGCAGGCUGGCAGCAGCCGGGAGUUGACCAUGACGGUUAAGAACCGCCGUGACUCCUCGGGCACGUUUGGAUGGCCUCAAGGUCGAGGGAGCGGGACAGGACAGAGGACAGACGGGCCUGUCGUGGAGGAUCAUGGGAAGAUGAAAAGCUGAGGGCAAGAGAUUUUACUGUAUGUAUGGAGACCUAUAUCUGUCUAUCUGUAAUAUCUAUGCUGCAUCUCAUAUCUUUGAAUGAACAUACACUGAUUGAUCGAUGGGGUGUAAUUGCCAAAGUCUUUCUCUGUUGCUAACCUCGAUAAACACUGUUGUACACUUCCAUCUGAGUUCUCCUCCGUGAACUUCCUUUAGUUCUGUUGUAGUAAAUUAUUACAGUUUAAAGAUUUUUCCCUUAAAUGUCAGAAAUGUGAAG
Long non-coding RNA from Toxotes jaculatrix (banded archerfish), 566 nucleotides. RefSeq lists it as uncharacterized. The record is from RefSeq and is a predicted model, not a curated record. NCBI's taxonomy places the organism in Eukaryota, Metazoa, Chordata, Actinopteri, Toxotidae. The transcript has 3 exons.